RNAcentral lists this ribosomal RNA (274 nucleotides) under uncultured bacterium. Its description in RNAcentral is "partial 16S ribosomal RNA". It matches the Rfam family "Bacterial small subunit ribosomal RNA", at positions 523 to 796 of the family's 1533-position model. The record is from RNAcentral.
AUACGGAGGGAGCUAGCGUUGUUCGGAAUUACUGGGCGUAAAGCGCGCGUAGGUGGACUGGUCAGUUGGGGGUGAAAUCCCAGGGCUCAACCCUGGAACUGCCUUCAAUACUGCCAGUCUUGAGUUCGAGAGAGGUGAGUGGAAUUCCUAGUGUAGAGGUGAAAUUCGUAGAUAUUAGGAAGAACACCAGCGGCGAAGGCGGCUCACUGGCUCGAUACUGACGCUGAGGUGCGAAAGCGUGGGGAGCAAACAGGAUUAGAAACCCGAGUAGUCC